AAUUUUAAGGUCAAGCUACAAAGGGCGCAUGGUGAAUGCCUUGGCACUAGGAGCCGAAGAAGGACGCGAUAAGCUGCGAUAAGCCUUGGGUAGCCGCAAAUAGGCUGAGAUCCAGGGAUUUCCGAAUGAGGAAACUCACAUGGGUAACCCCAUGUAUCAUGCACUGAAUACAUAGGUGUAUGAGGGUAAACCCGGGGAACUGAAACAUCUAAGUACCCGGAGGAAGAGAAAGAAAAAUCGAUUUCCUAAGUAGCGGCGAGCGAACGGGAAAGAGCCCAAACCAGAAACUUGUUUCUGGGGUUGCGGAUAGAUCAUAAAAGAAGAGGUAUCUUAAUCGAAGAGGGCUGGAACGCCCUACCAUAGAAGGUAAUAGUCCUGUAGAUAAAAAGAGAAAACUUUAAGAUCUAAUCCAGAGUACCACGAGACACGUGAAACCUUGUGGGAAGCAGGGAGGACCACCUCCCAAGGCUAAAUACUACCUAGUGACCGAUAGUGAAGCAGUACCGUGAGGGAAAGGUGAAAAGAAC
Molecule: ribosomal RNA, 527 nt
Filed under: Clostridium botulinum
Lineage: Bacteria; Bacillati; Bacillota; Clostridia; Eubacteriales; Clostridiaceae
Description: partial 23S ribosomal RNA
Rfam family: Bacterial large subunit ribosomal RNA
Source: RNAcentral